Long non-coding RNA from Scylla paramamosain (green mud crab), 1345 nucleotides. RefSeq lists it as uncharacterized. NCBI's taxonomy places the organism in Eukaryota, Metazoa, Arthropoda, Malacostraca, Decapoda, Portunidae. The record is from RefSeq and is a predicted model, not a curated record. The transcript has 3 exons.
CUGCAGGUUGCUGAAGGGCAGAGUCACAGACUGCUCCACUGCCAGGUGUGAGACCAGUGUGGCAGAGUAUGAUGUGUACACAAUGAGGGACACACCACAGCCAACCCUGUAGGUGACCUAUGCUGCACUGCUGAUUGGGUCCUCACUUUGCUGUAGGAGAGCUGACAACACGUACCAGCCAGCAACUCCCAUGCUGACGGGCUUCUCCCCCAUGGGUAUGUAGCACCUCUGGAGUUGGUCAGCAAAGAAGAGGAUGCUAGCCAAACCUAUCAUGUUAGUCAGGAUGCACCAGUACAGAGCUGUGUCCAUUGGGGUUGUGUAGGCUAGUAGCAUCUUGCCAAGGUCCUCAUAGGUGGCCACAAACAGUUUAUGGCUAUAAGAGGAGGACUUGCCUUCUGAACAUCACAUUGGGGAAGCCCACCCCAGCAGCCCAGCCUCCCCUGACAGCUGUCAUCAUCUGCUGCCUUGCCUGGGAGGACCAUAGACACAGCUUGUCUCUGAUGUCUUCCCCACAAUGCCUUGGCUUUGUUGGCUUCAGUGCAAUUUGUUUGUCUUCAGUUUAAAUAGUAUUGUAUAUACUAUCUUGUCUUCACCAUCUUGAAAUGUGAAGGAUGUUCUUGACAAACAAACAAGGUAGUAUUGUAUAAUUAUUACUUUAAAUAUUGUCUUAAAUUAUCUUGAAAUUUGUAAAAAAAAAAAAAAUGUGUAAAAAGAAAGCAAAUACAGAUGAUUAUCUCUGUAGUGAAGGAGGAAGGACUCAAUAUCCCUGUAGUGAAGGAGGAAGGACUCAAUAUCCCUGUAGUGAAGGAGGAAGGACUCAAUUUUUUUUAAGUUUAAGGUGUGAUUUGCACAUAGAGGCUCCUGGAUUUCCCUGUAGAGUGACCCUCCCUGAAUGCAGGGAGGGACGGUGCGUCUAUGUACAAAUCGCACCUUAAACUUAGUAGUGAAGCCUUAAACUUAGUAUUUUGUAGUGAAGGAGGGAGGAAGGACUCCUUUCUGAGUCCUUCUCAUCACCACAAUGUUGCAUCUCUAGCUGUCUUCUACCGCUAUUUUCAUGCUAACUGCUCUUCUGAUCUCACUAACUGCAUACCUCCCCUCCUCCCGUGGCCUCACUGCACAAGACUUUCUUCUUUCUCUCACCUCUAUUGUGUCCACCUCUCUAAUACAAGAGUUAACCAGUAUUCUCAGUCAUUCAUCCCUUUCUCUGGCAAACUCUGGAACUCCCUACCUGCUUCUGUAUUUCCACCUUCCUAUGACUUUAAUUCCUUCAAGAGGGAGGUUUCAAGACAUUUAUCCUUCAAUUUCUGACUACUGCUUUGGACAGUGUUUGGGGAUCAGCACCUCA